AUGCAACCUUGGAUUUCAGCUGGGGACGGUGGCAUGGCACCCCAGGAGGUGAUUGUGUUUGGGAAGCUUAAGUGGUUUGGCAAUGCUUUGGUUAGGAAGUUAGCACGACCGCUUCUCUGGGAGGUGCAGUCCUCUUUGAGGCCGGGCGACGAGCCAUACACUCCGCGCAGAGCGACGCGUAGUGCUAAGAGGGCUCCGGCCGCUAAGUCCAAGGAAUUGGACGGGAACGAUGAUACUAUUGCAGGGUUGACUGAGAUCUUCGACUCUCCUUUGAGGGAGCAGCACGUGAGGGUGAUGGCUGCUUUGUUUGGCAAGGAGGUGCCACCGGCUUGCCAGUUGAGCUCCGGCACAACAGUGCAUAGAAGGGACGUGUCCCCGGGCCCUUGGAUGGUGCUAGGAGACUUUAACAUGAUCAUUAGAGCUGAGGAGAAGAGCAACUUGAACCUCAACAGGGGCAUGAUGAGGACGUUUAAGGCAUUCAUGGACAACGACGAGCUCAAGGAGAUCUACAUGCAUGGUAGACGUUUCACUUGGUCCAAUGAAAGGGAGCAGGUGGUUAUGACCAAUAUCGAUCGAGGGCUUGUUUUCGCUGACCAGGAGCUCAAUUACCCGGAUGUUCUGCUCCAAGCUCUCUUGUCCAACAUCUCGGAUCACGCACCGCUUCAUCUGUCUACCUUUGCUCCGUUUUGCCCGAAGCAUAGGUUUCAGUUUGAGCAUUUUUGGACUCGGUUGGAGGGGGUUGAGAAAGCUGUGAAAGACGCUUGGGUGUGCGAUAACGACAUUGUUGAUCCCUUCAAGAGCGUCCUGGUCAGGAGCGGUGGGAGGCAUCGUCCUAGUCGGCUGGUCGUCCUGCCUGGAGUUCUGAGAGGAGGGAGGCAACCGGAGGACGGCUGGAGUACCUGGAAUUUCGACACCAGGCGGCGGCGAUGGCGUCCCCUGGAUGGCGGGGGUCGCUGGACCAGCACGCAGCAGCACUGCAGCAGCGCUUGCGCGGUCGUACGUGGAGGCGCCGGCGUGCUGGUCUUGGGCUCCUUGUGGCGCGUGGCGGCGUCACCGCACCGGGCAAGGGCUGCGGCGGGAGGGGCGGUUGCGCCCUAUUUGAAGCGGCGGCGGAGGGGGGCUGGUAUCCCUCCCCUUAUUCUCUAUCGCCAUGAAGGUGGAAGGAAUGAGGAGGCUAGAUUGAUCUGUCAGCCUCUCGGAUAUGUCGUUACAACACCGCUGGCGCAUAUCGUCGUUGCCAAUUUCGUAGCACCACCCCAUGCACUCUCAAUACAGGUCAAAAGUCAUCGGCCUCGCGGGUUACAACAUGCUCCCGGGCUGAUUGCAACUUCUAGCAUUGUCGGCCUUAGCUUUCUCCCACAAUGCUGGGAUACCCUCCCCUUAUGCUCUAUCACCAUGGAUAUGUCGUUACAACACCGUCGACGGGCGGUGGUAGCUGACGCAUAUCAUCGUCGCCACUUUGUAGCACCACCACUUGUGCUCUCAGCACCGAUCAAAAGUUGCCAGCCUCGUUGGUCACAACAUGUUCCUAGACGGGUCACAACUUCUACCAUUGAUUGCGGCCACCACCUGCAACCCCCCCUCCUUCCCACCCCCAUCUCAACCCCCGUAGGAUCUGUCGCUUCCUCGACCUGCAUCGGCGCCGCUUCCUCGAUCUGUCCCGGCGCCGUUUGGAUCGUUGCGGCGACGGCUUCGUUGGUCUUCAGCUCCGCCACCUACAUCCUGAAGGGGUACAAUCUCGUGGCUGGUAUGGAUCUGAACGCCCACCCUUUCCCUGAUCUGACUGCUACGAAUUCUCUGAGACUUUUUGAGAAACUAGAAGCAAACGGCGCGCUUUGCUGUGCCCGCUCCAAGCUUUUUAACAUGUCUAGUUUGCAAUCUGGACACACGAAACAAAUCUGGGCUCAUUUGGCUCCUUUGUCAUUUUCUUUGAUGCCCUAA
Molecule: ribosomal RNA, 1941 nt
Filed under: Triticum aestivum (bread wheat)
Lineage: Eukaryota; Viridiplantae; Streptophyta; Magnoliopsida; Poales; Poaceae
Description: partial small subunit ribosomal RNA
Source: RNAcentral